UACGGAGGGUGCGAGCGUUAAUCGGAAUUACUGGGCGUAAAGCGUGCGUAGGCGGUUUCUUAAGCGAGAUGUGAAAUCCCGGGGCUUAACCUGAGACGUGCAAUUCAAACUGUUUAUCUAGAGUUUUGGAGAGGGGAGUAGAAUUUCCGGAGUAGCGGUGAAAUGCGUAGAUUUCGGAAGGAAUACCGGUGGCGAAGGCGACUCUCUGGCCACAGACUGACACUGAGGUGCGAAAGCGUGGGGAGCAAACAGG
RNAcentral lists this ribosomal RNA (253 nucleotides) under uncultured bacterium. Its description in RNAcentral is "partial 16S ribosomal RNA". It matches the Rfam family "Bacterial small subunit ribosomal RNA", at positions 524 to 776 of the family's 1533-position model. The record is from RNAcentral.